AUUUAAAUAGUUUAAAAAAAAAUUAUAGUUUGUGGUUCUAUAGAUGUAAGAUAUUACUUUAAAUA
This 65-nucleotide transfer RNA is filed under the name Hydrophilidae sp. BMNH 1274335. Its description in RNAcentral is "tRNA-His". Lineage: Eukaryota; Metazoa; Arthropoda; Insecta; Coleoptera; Hydrophilidae. The record is from RNAcentral.